GCACCAGACUCCUACGGGAGGCAGCAGUGGGGGAUAUUGCACAAUGGGGGGAACCCUGAUGCAGCGACGCCGCGUGAGGGAAGACGGUUUUCGGAUUGUAAACCUCUGUCUUUAGGGACGAAACAAAUGACGGUACCUAAAGAGGAAGCCCCGGCUAACUACGUGCCAGCAGCCGCGGUAAUACGUAGGGGGCAAGCGUUAUCCGGAUUUACUGGGUGUAAAGGGAGCGUAGACGGUGCAGCAAGUCUGGAGUGAAAGGCAGGGGCCCAACCCCUGGACUGCUCUGGAAACUGUCGUACUUGAGUGCAGGAGAGGUAAGUGGAAUUCCUAGUGUAGCGGUGAAAUGCGUAGAUAUUAGGAGGAACACCAGUGGCGAAGGCGGCUUACUGGACUGUAACUGACGUUGAGGCUCGAAAGCGUGGGGAGCAAACAGGAUUAGAUACCCGAGUACA
This 452-nucleotide ribosomal RNA is filed under the name uncultured bacterium. Its description in RNAcentral is "bacterial SSU rRNA". It matches the Rfam family "Bacterial small subunit ribosomal RNA", at positions 328 to 797 of the family's 1533-position model. The record is from RNAcentral.